UACGAAGGGGGCUAGCGUUGCUCGGAAUUACUGGGCGUAAAGCGCACGUAGGCGGGCUAUUAAGUCGGGGGUGAAAUCCUGGAGCUCAACUCCAGAACUGCCUUCGAAACUGAUAGUCUUGAGUUCGGGAGAGGUGAGUGGAACUGCGAGUGUAGAGGUGAAAUUCGUAGAUAUUCGCAAGAACACCAGUGGCGAAGGCGGCUCACUGGCCCGGUACUGACACUGAGGUGCGAAAGCGUGGGGAGCAAACAGG
RNAcentral lists this ribosomal RNA (253 nucleotides) under uncultured bacterium. RNAcentral describes it as "partial 16S ribosomal RNA". It matches the Rfam family "Bacterial small subunit ribosomal RNA", at positions 524 to 776 of the family's 1533-position model. The record is from RNAcentral.